AUGAACUCUGGCGGCGUGCCUCAUACAUGCAAGUCGAGCGAACAGACGAGGAGCUUGCUCCUCUGACGUUAGCGGCGGACGGGUGAGUAACACGUGGAUAACCUACCUAUAAGACUGGGAUAACUUCGGGAAACCGGAGCUAAUACCGGAUAAUAUAUUGAACCGCAUGGUUCAAUAGUGAAAGACGGUUUUGCUGUCACUUAUAGAUGGAUCCGCGCCGCAUUAGCUAGUUGGUAAGGUAACGGCUUACCAAGGCAACGAUGCGUAGCCGACCUGAGAGGGUGAUCGGCCACACUGGAACUGAGACACGGUCCAGACUCCUACGGGAGGCAGCAGUAGGGAAUCUUCCGCAAUGGGCGAAAGCCUGACGGAGCAACGCCGCGUGAGUGAUGAAGGUCUUCGGAUCGUAAAACUCUGUUAUUAGGGAAGAACAAAUGUGUAAGUAACUAUGCACGUCUUGACGGUACCUAAUCAGAAAGCCACGGCUAACUACGUG
Molecule: ribosomal RNA, 496 nt
Filed under: uncultured bacterium
Lineage: Bacteria
Description: partial 16S ribosomal RNA
Rfam family: Bacterial small subunit ribosomal RNA
Source: RNAcentral